CAGCAGCCGCGGGAAUACGAAGGGGGCUAGCGUUGCUCGGAAUGACUGGGCGUAAAGGGCGCGUAGGCGGAUUGUUUAGUUAGGCGUGAAAUUCCUGGGCUUAACCUGGGGACUGCGCUUAAUACAGGCAGUCUAGAGUGAGGAAGAGGGUUGUGGAAUUCCCAGUGUAGAGGUGAAAUUCGUAGAUAUUGGGAAGAACACCGGUGGCGAAGGCGGCAACCUGGUCCUUGACUGACGCUGAGGCGCGAAAGCGUGGGGAGCAAACAGGAUUAGAUACCCCGGUAGUCCCUGUCUCUUAUAC
Molecule: ribosomal RNA, 301 nt
Filed under: uncultured bacterium
Lineage: Bacteria
Description: partial 16S ribosomal RNA
Rfam family: Bacterial small subunit ribosomal RNA
Source: RNAcentral